Molecule: ribosomal RNA, 163 nt
Filed under: Aureobasidium sp.
Lineage: Eukaryota; Fungi; Ascomycota; Dothideomycetes; Dothideales; Saccotheciaceae
Description: partial large subunit ribosomal RNA
Rfam family: Eukaryotic large subunit ribosomal RNA
Source: RNAcentral
CGGCAACAGCUCAAAUUUGAAAGCUGGCCUUCGGGUCCGCAUUGUAAUUUGUAGAGGAUGCUUUGGGGCAGCCGCCUGUCUAAGUUCCUUGGAACAGGACGUCAUAGAGGGUGAGAAUCCCGUAUGUGACAGGACAUGGCACCCUAUGUAAAGCUCCUUCGAC